GACCACCAGCAGUUGCCUGUUAACCUUCAGAAAGUCGCCUUGCUUUAGAGAGCUCACCAUGGCCUGGACUCUGUUUUUCCUGGUUCUUCUCAGUUACUGUUUAGGUAAAUACAAAAAGAAGUAGACUUAAGCUGGCCUAAAUGGGGGGGGGGCAUAUCUGUAAUGUUUAUUUAUCAUAGUGCCUUAAAGUUCAGGUGAUAUGUGAGAACAGAGAGGAUUGAGAAUCAUACAUUUCUUUUUCUCUUUUUUUACAAAGGUGUUAUUUCACAGCCAGCAUUGACCCAGCUGGGAUCCCAGUCUGUGUCCCUGGGUCAGACUGUGACCCUCUCCUGCUCUAAGAAUAAGGGGAGCUGGCAGACCUUUGGCUGGUGUCAACAGAAACCUGGGCAGCCUCCUCGUUUUCUAUGGUAUGGUCCCAGCACCAGGGGAGACGGGGUCCCAGAUAGGUUCACCGCUUCUCCCUCUGAGGAUACCGGCUAUUUAACCAUCUCCAAUGUCCAGGCUGAAGAUGAGGCAGUUUAUCACUGUUUUGCAUGGGAAGGCACCGGUACCCCGAAGU
Molecule: long non-coding RNA, 559 nt
Filed under: Podarcis lilfordi (Lilford's wall lizard)
Lineage: Eukaryota; Metazoa; Chordata; Lepidosauria; Squamata; Lacertidae
Source: RNAcentral